Molecule: ribosomal RNA, 500 nt
Filed under: uncultured bacterium
Lineage: Bacteria
Description: partial 16S ribosomal RNA
Rfam family: Bacterial small subunit ribosomal RNA
Source: RNAcentral
AUUGAACGCUGGCGGAAUGCUUUACACAUGCAAGUCGAACGGCAGCACGGACUUCGGUCUGGUGGCGAGUGGCGAACGGGUGAGUAAUGUAUCGGAACGUGCCCAGUCGUGGGGGAUAACGUAGGGAAAAUUACGCUAAUACCGCAUACGAUCUAUGGAUGGAAGCGGGGGAUCGCAAGACCUCGCGCGAUUGGAGCGGGCGAUAUCAGAUUAGGUAGUUGGUGGGGUCAAGGCCCACCACGCCAACGAUCUGUCGCUGGUCUGAGAGGACGACCAGCCACACUGGAACUGAGACACGGUCCAGACUCCUACGGGAGGCAGCAGUGGGGAAUUUUGGACAAUGUGCGAAAGCCUGAUCCAGCCAUUCCGCGUGCAGGAUGAAGGCCCUCGGGUUGUAAACUGCUUUUGUACAGAACGAAAAGGUUUCUACUAAUACUAGGAGCUCAUGACGGUGCUGCAAGAAUAAGCACCGGCUAACUACGUGCCAGCCGCCGCAGUAA